RNAcentral lists this transfer RNA (75 nucleotides) under Thermodesulfovibrio yellowstonii. Its description in RNAcentral is "tRNA-Ala". It matches the Rfam family "tRNA". Rfam says of the family: Transfer RNA (tRNA) molecules are approximately 80 nucleotides in length. Their secondary structure includes four short double-helical elements and three loops (D, anti-codon, and T loops). The record is from RNAcentral. RNAcentral also lists the same sequence under 5 other names. Lineage: Bacteria; Pseudomonadati; Nitrospirota; Thermodesulfovibrionia; Thermodesulfovibrionales; Thermodesulfovibrionaceae.
GGGCGUGUAGCUCAGUGGGAGAGCGUUCGGUUCGCAUCCGAGAGGCCGCGGGUUCGAAUCCCGCCACGUCCACCA